UUUAUUAGUUAUAWUUAUAAUCAUGCCUGCACACUGAUUUUUAAAGAGCUGUAGUAUUCUAACUAUACUAAGGUAGCAUAAUAUAUUGCUUUUUAAUUGAAAGCUUGUAUGAAAGGUUCCAUGAAAAAGAAACUUUUCCUUAACUACCUAAAAAAUUAAUAUCUUAGUAAAAAAUCUAAGUUAUUUUUAAAAGACGAUAAGACCCUAUAAAAUUUAAUUUAAUAUUUCUGGUUAGAUUUUAUUACAUAAAUUUUAUUGGGGUAAUAAAAACAUAAUUUUUAACUGUUUUUGUUAUUAACAUUUUUAAUGAACUUUAUGACCCUAAUAAGACUACGAGAAUAAAUUACUUUAGGGAUAACAGCGUAAUUUUAUUUAAAGUUCUUAUUAAAAAUAAAGUUUGCGACCUCGAUGUUGAAUUAAGAAUUUUUAAUGGUGCAGUAGCUAUUUUAAUAAAUCUGUUCGAUUUAUAAUUUCUUACGUGAUCUGAG
This 488-nucleotide ribosomal RNA is filed under the name Chalarostylis cf. elegans ICE1-Lam017. Its description in RNAcentral is "partial 16S ribosomal RNA". Lineage: Eukaryota; Metazoa; Arthropoda; Malacostraca; Cumacea; Lampropidae. The record is from RNAcentral.